Molecule: long non-coding RNA, 329 nt
Organism: Pipra filicauda (Wire-tailed manakin)
Lineage: Eukaryota; Metazoa; Chordata; Aves; Passeriformes; Pipridae
Exons: 3
Source: RefSeq, a predicted model, not a curated record
GUGUUACUUAUUGUUCCAACACCAUGGCAAUGUCUCCGGGAGGAAUACAAAUCACUUGGAGCAAGGACACAGAGCCAGCUGAGCAGGUACCAGGAAUGUGGGAGUUGCUCAUUACUCACCCAGGGGUUCAAAGGUAAGGCACAACUCUUCCCCAGGAAGCUCCAUGUUUCCAAAACUGUCGUCAGACCUGAAUGAAUCAACAGGCGAAUAUGGUGAAUUUCCUCAGAAGGUUUCAAAGCAGAGAACUCUAAUAAUCACUUGAUUUAAUGAAGGAAUAAUCUCUACCAAAAAUUGAUUUAUUAAUUAAAAAUCCUUCCUUGUCACUGUCU